RNAcentral lists this ribosomal RNA (515 nucleotides) under Teuchophorus clavigerellus. RNAcentral's name for it is "partial 16S ribosomal RNA". The stretch from base 392 to 515 matches the Rfam family "Bacterial large subunit ribosomal RNA", at positions 2473 to 2597 of the family's 2925-position model. Lineage: Eukaryota; Metazoa; Arthropoda; Insecta; Diptera; Dolichopodidae. The record is from RNAcentral.
GUCUUUUUGAAUUUUAAUAUAAAGUCUAAUCUGCCCACUGAUAUUUAAUUUAAUGGCCGCAGUAUUUUAACUGUGCAAAGGUAGCAUAGUCAUUAGUCUUUUAAUUGGGGGCUUGUAUGAAUGAUUGAACGAGAUAUAAACUGUCUCAUAAAAAAUUUUUAAAUAGAAUUUAAUUUUUUAGUUAAAAAGCUAAAAUAUUUUUAAAAGACGAGAAGACCCUAUAGAUCUUUAUAAAAUAAUUUAUUCUUUUUUUUUAGAUUUAUUAAAUAUUAAUAAUUUAUUUUAUUUUGUUGGGGUGACAUUGAAAUUUAUUAAACUUUCAAAUUUUAAAAUCAUUAAUUUAUGAAUUUAUGAUCCUUUAUUAUAGAUUAAAAAUUUAAGUUACCUUAGGGAUAACAGCGUAAUUAUUUUGGAGUGUUCUUAUCGAUAAAAUAGAUUGCGACCUCGGAUGUUGGAUUAAGAAAAUUUUUGGUGUAGAAGCUAAAGAAUUAAGUCUGUUCGACUUUUAAUUUCUU